GGGUGAGUAACGCGUGGGAACCUGCCCAGAGGUACGGAAUAACAGUUGGAAACGACUGCUAAUACCGUAUGAGCCCGAGAGGGGAAAGAUUUAUCGCCUUUGGAGGGGCCCGCGUCAGAUUAGGUAGUUGGUAGGGUAAUGGCCUACCAAGCCUUCGAUCUGUAGCUGGUCUUAGAGGAUGAUCAGCCACACUGGGACUGAGAUACGGCCCAGACUCCUACGGGAGGCAGCAGUGGGGAAUAUUGGACAAUGGGGGCAACCCUGAUCCAGCAAUGCCGCGAGAGUGAUGAAGGCCUCCGGGUUGUAAAGCUCUUUUGCCAGGGACGAUAAUGACGGUACCUGGAGAAUAAGCCCCGACUAACUUCGUGCCAGCAGCCGCGGUAAUACGAAGGGGGCUAGCGUUGUUCGGAAUUACUGGGCGUAAAGGGCGCGUAGGCGGUUUGAUUAGUCAGAUGUGAAAUUCCCGGGCUUAACCUGGGCGCUGCAUUUGAUACUGUCAGGCUUGAAUUCGGGAGAGGAUAGUGGAAUUCCCAGUGUAGAGGUGAAAUUCGUAGAUAUUGGGAAGAGCACCAGUGGCGAAGGCGACUAUCUGGACCGACAUUGACGCUGAGGCGCGAAAGCGUGGGGAGCAAACAGGAUUAGAUACCCUGGUAGUCCACGCCGUAAACGAUGAGUGCUAGACGCUGGUAGGUUUACCUAUCGGUGUCGCAGCUAACGCAUUAAGCACUCCGCCUGGGGAGUACGGUCGCAAGAU
Molecule: ribosomal RNA, 754 nt
Filed under: uncultured bacterium
Lineage: Bacteria
Description: bacterial SSU rRNA
Rfam family: Bacterial small subunit ribosomal RNA
Source: RNAcentral